Molecule: transfer RNA, 69 nt
Filed under: Rallus aquaticus
Lineage: Eukaryota; Metazoa; Chordata; Aves; Gruiformes; Rallidae
Also listed under: 1 other name
Description: tRNA-Ala
Source: RNAcentral
AAGGCCCUAGCUUAAUUAAAGCAUCUAAGUUGCAUUUAGAAGAUGCAGGGUAAUGUCUUGCGGGUCUUA